GGCCGAUAGUUUUCUGCUAUUUAACAAUCCCAGAAGGGGGAAGUGAGUUCAAACCUGAUCUACUUUAAGAUCGUUUUAAGUAAUUUCCCUAAAAACUUGGCAGUGUAUUUGUAUGAACUCUUUUUUAAAUUUUGUUUCUCACAAUUGCGUUUUAUCCGCUCUUUAAAAAAAUAAAACUGGGAGAGAGGAUUAUUAAAUACAUAAG
This 205-nucleotide long non-coding RNA is filed under the name Mytilus galloprovincialis (Mediterranean mussel). Lineage: Eukaryota; Metazoa; Mollusca; Bivalvia; Mytilida; Mytilidae. The record is from RNAcentral.